GGGGGUGACUUGGUUUCGACAGGGAACCAGGGGGCAAGUGAUGCAUGUCGGAGACGCCAUUCCUCUCCGUUAACAAGUGGCAACUGCAAAAUUAACUGCAAACUACAACUACUCUCUGGCAGCAUAGUCUGACCAGCGUUUGCCUGUUUCGGUCCACCGGGAAUAGAGCAAGCGUCAUAACAGUGUGGAUGCUGCAAAAUCAAGCGCUCAUAGAUUUUGCCCAAGAUUAUGAGCUUUGGCUCGGCAGGUCUGAUCGUCUUUUACUGCCGUAGCUGAGACCUAAAGACGACUAAGCAUGUAGAUUCAUUUGUGACCGGUUUUUUGGACGCGGGUUCGAUCCCCGCCACCUCCACCA
This 355-nucleotide transfer-messenger RNA is filed under the name Candidatus Cloacimonadota bacterium. It matches the Rfam family "transfer-messenger RNA". Rfam says of the family: Bacterial tmRNA, also known as 10Sa RNA or SsrA, is named for its dual tRNA and mRNA-like properties. The record is from RNAcentral. Lineage: Bacteria; Pseudomonadati; Candidatus Cloacimonadota. RNAcentral also lists the same sequence under 2 other names.